UACGAAGGGGGCUAGCGUUGCUCGGAAUCACUGGGCGUAAAGGGUGCGUAGGCGGGUUUUUAAGUCAGGGGUGAAAUCCUGGAGCUCAACUCCAGAACUGCCUUUGAUACUGAAGAUCUCGAGUCCGGGAGAGGUGAGUGGAACUGCGAGUGUAGAGGUGAAAUUCGUAGAUAUUCGCAAGAACACCAGUGGCGAAGGCGGCUCAGUGGCCCGGUACUGACGCUGAGGCACGAAAGCGUGGGGAGCAAACAGG
RNAcentral lists this ribosomal RNA (253 nucleotides) under uncultured bacterium. RNAcentral's name for it is "partial 16S ribosomal RNA". It matches the Rfam family "Bacterial small subunit ribosomal RNA", at positions 524 to 776 of the family's 1533-position model. The record is from RNAcentral.